GGUUAUGAUUAGGUCUGCGCUUGCGAGCGAGAGACGCUACGUGUUGAGACGGGUUUAGGCGGUAGACCUACGUAGAAUUGGUGAACUGUGGUUCGUCUAUGAGAUUGAGAUAAACGGUAGGCGAGUAGCCUUGUCGGCGAGUUUAGGCUUGGAUUCACGAACGGGAGUUCGUGUGAGGUUAUUACAAUAGUGGUUCUUCCUACGGUGGUAAUGCACUUUCGGAGUUACACUUAGCAAAUGUGAGUGAAUUUGGUCUCAUAUCCUCCAUAGUGGGCCUUGGAUGAUUUCAAUGAGUAAAAGGUCACUCCAAGAAGGAAAAGUGUAUUGGAAUCCCCGAUUGCUUGAUAAAUCGAGUUGGAAUGUGAUUGGGGUUGAAAUUUGGUUAGUUUCGAGAAUGAAACUCUUUUUAAGGAGUGGAGGAUGUAAGGUACCGAACUUCUAUUGUAAGGUACCGAACUUCUAAAAUUAUGAAGUUACGGUGGAUGUAGUAUGCUGAAUUUUUAAUAUAAAAAUAAAUAUAAAUAAAAAUAGUGUGAGAUACUAUUUUUUUUGGACUUAAGAGUGUAAAGUAUAAGUUGGAAAUGACCUGUGCUGAAAUCGGAGCGAAAACAAAAGAUUUAGAAUUUUCUGUGAGAGACGUGACAGAUAAAUUAGCAGAAAAUGCACAGUGUCAGAAAAUUAUGAAAACUGGAGGAUAUGUCAGAAUUAUUUUUGUGAGGCUAGAAUUAAAGUUUCACCUCAUUCUGACAUCUGGAAGGUGGAAAAUAAAAUCGAACUGCUAUCUGCUAGAGAUUACAGUUCAGUAGAGCUUUCGGUGACCAAAUAGGGUCGAAACUGAAAGAUUAAAAAUCCUUUCGUUAAGUUAAGUAAAACCGAGCAUGACUGCCAAAUUUGAGCUCAAACGGAUAUUCAGAAGGGCAGGCGAAAAAUAUCUGUACCUGAGCU
Molecule: long non-coding RNA, 945 nt
Filed under: Ananas comosus (pineapple)
Lineage: Eukaryota; Viridiplantae; Streptophyta; Magnoliopsida; Poales; Bromeliaceae
Description: long non-coding RNA (ACOM_LNC026829)
Source: RNAcentral